Molecule: unclassified non-coding RNA, 497 nt
Filed under: uncultured Glomus
Lineage: Eukaryota; Fungi; Glomeromycota; Glomeromycetes; Glomerales; Glomeraceae
Description: SSU rRNA
Rfam family: Eukaryotic small subunit ribosomal RNA
Source: RNAcentral
AGCAGCCGCGGUAAUUCCAGCUCCAAUAGCGUAUAUUAAAGUUGUUGCAGUUAAAAAGCUCGUAGUUGAAUUUCGGGAUCAAUAUGUUGGUCGUGCCUCGGUACGUACUAGCUUAUUGGUUUCUCCUUUCUGAAGAACCAUGAUGUCAUUUAUUUGGUGUCGUGGGGAAUCAGGACUGUUACUUUGAAAAAAUUAGAGUGUUUAAAGCAGGCUCACGCUUGAAUACAUUAGCAUGGAAUAAUGAAAUAGGACGUUUGAUUCUAUUUUGUUGGUUUCUAGGAUCGACGUAAUGAUUAAUAGGGAUAGUUGGGGGCAUUAGUAUUCAAUUGUCAGAGGUGAAAUUCUUGGAUUUAUUGAAGACUAACUACUGCGAAAGCAUUUGCCAAGGAUGUUUUCAUUAAUCAAGAACGAAAGUUAGGGGAUCGAAGACGAUCAGAUACCGUCGUAGUCUUAACCAUAAACUAUGCCGACUAGGGAUCGGAUGAUGUUAAUUUUUU